GUCCACUCAGGUCUUUUGGCUAGGACAAAGUGUAGUAUCUGUUCUUUUCAGUGUGAUAACUGAAACGAGGUAUUAUAAAUACCUCAUUGUUAUCUUACUUAUUUUUUAAACAUAAGUUAAAGAACUUCAUAGCUUACUAUGAGUUUUUAACAAUGGUAUUCUUAGUAUUGCACUAUUUCUAAGUUAUGCCAAAAUAUU
RNAcentral lists this small nuclear RNA (198 nucleotides) under Anaeromyces robustus. RNAcentral's name for it is "U2 spliceosomal RNA". It matches the Rfam family "U2 spliceosomal RNA". From Rfam's summary of the family: U2 is a small nuclear RNA (snRNA) component of the spliceosome (involved in pre-mRNA splicing). The record is from Rfam by way of RNAcentral. Lineage: Eukaryota; Fungi; Neocallimastigomycota; Neocallimastigomycetes; Neocallimastigales; Neocallimastigaceae.